Molecule: ribosomal RNA, 254 nt
Filed under: uncultured bacterium
Lineage: Bacteria
Description: partial 16S ribosomal RNA
Rfam family: Bacterial small subunit ribosomal RNA
Source: RNAcentral
CACGUAGGGUGCGAGCGUUGUCCGGAAUUAUUGGGCGUAAAGAGCUCGUAGGCGGUGUGUCGCGUCGGCCGUGAAAACUUGCAGCUUAACUGUGGGCGUGCGGUCGAUACGGGCAUCACUGGAGUUCGGCAGGGGAGACUGGAAUUCCUGGUGUAGCGGUGAAAUGCGCAGAUAUCAGGAGGAACACCGGUGGCGAAGGCGGGUCUCUGGGCCGGUACUGACGCUGAGGAGCGAAAGCGUGGGGAGCAAACAGG